CCCCUCUCAGGGUCGCACCUGGAGAGUUUUCACUACUCUACCAGUCUUGCUUACGGGAGGGAGAGUCAAGCAGAGGCCUACCCAUUCCAUUCCCAGUUUGGACAGUGGCUAAGGAGUGGAAGGUAAUCUGCUACAAGU
Molecule: small nucleolar RNA, 138 nt
Organism: Tachyglossus aculeatus (Australian echidna)
Lineage: Eukaryota; Metazoa; Chordata; Mammalia; Monotremata; Tachyglossidae
Source: RefSeq, a predicted model, not a curated record